UACGUAGGGGGCGAGCGUUGUCCGGAAUUAUUGGGCGUAAAGGGCACGCAGGCGGUCUUCUAAGUCUGAUGUGAAAUCUCGUAGCUUAACUACGAGCGGUCAUUGGAAACUGGGAGACUUGAGUACAGAAGAGGAGAGUGGAAUUCCACGUGUAGCGGUGAAAUGCGUAGAUAUGUGGAGGAACACCAGUGGCGAAGGCGGCUCUCUGGUCUGUAACUGACGCUGAGGUGCGAAAGCGUGGGGAGCGAACAGGAUUAGAUACCCCGGUAGUCC
RNAcentral lists this ribosomal RNA (273 nucleotides) under uncultured bacterium. RNAcentral describes it as "partial 16S ribosomal RNA". It matches the Rfam family "Bacterial small subunit ribosomal RNA", at positions 524 to 796 of the family's 1533-position model. The record is from RNAcentral.